UACGAAGGGUGCGAGCGUUAUUCGGAAUCACUGGGCGUAAAGGGUGCGUAGACGGUUUGUUAAGUUUGUCGUUAAAGACUCCGGCCUAACUGGAGGGUUGCGAUGAAAACUGGCGGACUAGAGGGUGAGAGAGAGAAGUGGAAUUCCCGGAGUAGCGGUAAAAUGCGUGGAUCUCGGGAGGAACACCAAUGGCGAAGGCAGCUUCUUGGCUCAUUUCUGACGUUGAGGCACGAAAGCGUGGGUAGCGAACAGG
RNAcentral lists this ribosomal RNA (253 nucleotides) under uncultured bacterium. RNAcentral's name for it is "partial 16S ribosomal RNA". It matches the Rfam family "Bacterial small subunit ribosomal RNA", at positions 524 to 776 of the family's 1533-position model. The record is from RNAcentral.